GCAGUGGUGGUUCGAUGGGAGAAUUCUCGCCUCUCAUGGGGGAGACCUGGGUUGGAUUCCCAGCCCAUGUA
This 71-nucleotide transfer RNA is filed under the name Loxodonta africana (African savanna elephant). It matches the Rfam family "tRNA". From Rfam's summary of the family: Transfer RNA (tRNA) molecules are approximately 80 nucleotides in length. Lineage: Eukaryota; Metazoa; Chordata; Mammalia; Proboscidea; Elephantidae. The record is from Rfam by way of RNAcentral.